RNAcentral lists this ribosomal RNA (374 nucleotides) under uncultured bacterium. RNAcentral's name for it is "bacterial SSU rRNA". It matches the Rfam family "Bacterial small subunit ribosomal RNA", at positions 30 to 402 of the family's 1533-position model. The record is from RNAcentral.
UUGAACGCUGGCGGCGUGCUUAACACAUGCAAGUCGAUCGGUAACAGGUGUAGCAAUACAUGCUGACGAGAGGCGGACGGGUGAGUAAUGCUUGGGAAUCUGCCUAUUAGUGGGGGACAACCCGGGGAAACUCGGGCUAAUACCGCAUACGCUCUACGGAGGAAAGCCGGGGACCGCAAGGCCUGGCGCUAAUAGAUGAGCCCAAGUCGGAUUAGCUAGUUGGUAGGGUAACGGCCUACCAAGGCGACAAUCCGUAGCUGGUCUGAGAGGACGACCAGCCACACCGGAACUGAGACACGGUCCGGACUCCUACGGGAGGCAGCAGUGGGGAAUAUUGGACAAUGGGGGCAACCCUGAAUCCAGCGACGCCGCGU